Molecule: non-coding RNA, 1526 nt
Organism: Manis javanica (Malayan pangolin)
Lineage: Eukaryota; Metazoa; Chordata; Mammalia; Pholidota; Manidae
Source: RefSeq, a predicted model, not a curated record
AGGACCAGCUCCCUGGAGAUAUUGAUACAUUUUAUCCAGAUAACCUUUAGAUGUUUAUACCUUAAAAGUUACUCAGUUGAAGUUGCUUUCAAAUUAAACACCAAGGCUGCAGUGUUUCUGUUGUGAUUGUGGAGGGAAGUGGAGCCAGUGAGAUUUGUCCAUGUUUUACAAAUCACCAUCUGGCAGGGAUAUGGCAACAUGUGAAAUCUUCACAGGACUCUUGUUUUUCUACUAUCUGCUGGAUAACUAAGGAGAUCACCAGACUGCUGGGAUGCCUGCCAGAUGGUAAGCAGGUGUAGAGUUUCUCCAGUCCUGCUGAGUAAGCAUGUGCUACCCGUAGGAUCAUAAGCAACGUCAACAAACAUCUGCCUUCUUUAAAGUAAAUAUUCUAAGCAGAAUCGGUCCAUUAUGACUGCCAUCCCUUUGCAGUCCUGCAAAGCAAGGCCUUGUAAUGUAAGAGGCAAGAAUGGCUCCAGAGGAACUGCUGAGAACCACUGCGUCAAUCACAUGAACAUUAAAACACAACUUGCUAGUAGUCAUCACUAUAAAAAGUAUUCUCUUGCUCUGUGGAAAAUGGUUUCAAGUAAUUGUUGUGUUGGAAUGGGAGUUUUGUUCUUUUUUAACAGCGUAAUUUGAGAGAGAGAAAAAAAAGAGAAGAUAUGUUCAAGAAACAAACCUAUAUUAAAAUAGUUGAAUCAACUAAUUGUCAACAAAUGGUAUCAUCAUAUUAGCACAGAAAUUAUACAUUAUAGAUUCCUAGGCCCAAGAGGCACACUCAUGCCCUAACAAUACAGUUGGCUAACUGAUGCACAACAACCGUAAGAAAGGGACAAGAAUUUGGCCUGACCUGCCUCAUCAAAGAGAAUCUCCUCUGACUUUGAAAUAUUAUUUUCUUCCAUGCCCUCAAUUGCAGAGCUAAUGAGCACCGAGUGGAAUCAAGUCUGAGAACAGUUUCCCCUUUAGUUCUCUUUCUGGUUUCAGCUAAGCUGAUCUCUAACAGUGUUAGUGGUUUGUGUUAGGGAAUGCUAUGUGAUGUAAGAAGAACUUAGAUAUUUGUGAAAAUGAAACUAACUGGACUACUGGUCCAAUAUCGGUAGCUCUCGGUGUUCCUGUGUGACACAGACUGAUGCAGGAAUGAAUUACUGUAUCUUCAAUUAAGCCAACAAAGACUCAUACCAUUAUUAUAGGUCAGAGGUGUUCAACUGUAGUUUCUCUGUAGGAAAAAGUGGUAGGCAGUAGAAGGGUGGGACCUUCUGACAGCUUUCUAAAGACAUGGUCCUGAAGAGUUAGAGCUUGCCAGUGGGCCACCUGCAGAAAAUUCUACUGCUUAUAUGAAGCAUCACACUAGGUUAUAAGAAAAUAAAUGAACAAAAUACCCAGGUUAGCAAUUCCUUCAAAAAUGUUCUGAGGCUUGGAAACGGAGAGAAUUAUGAGAUGGGAUGCUGCCAAUCUUUGUGGAGUGGCCCUGGGCAAGUUAUUUUGUGUCCGAUCUACUGUUGUUACCGGUGCUACUACUGAUAAUAAAA